Molecule: ribosomal RNA, 253 nt
Filed under: uncultured bacterium
Lineage: Bacteria
Description: partial 16S ribosomal RNA
Rfam family: Bacterial small subunit ribosomal RNA
Source: RNAcentral
UACGGAGGGUGCAAGCGUUAUCCGGAUUCACUGGGUUUAAAGGGUGCGUAGGUGGGCAAGUAAGUCAGUGGUGAAAUCUCCGGGCUUAACCCGGAAACUGCCAUUGAUACUAUUUGUCUUGAAUACUGUGGAGGUCAGCGGAAUAUGUCAUGUAGCGGUGAAAUGCUUAGAUAUGACAUAGAACACCAAUUGCGAAGGCAGCUGGCUACACAAAUAUUGACACUGAGGCACGAAAGCGUGGGGUGCAAACAGG